This is a non-coding RNA of Podarcis lilfordi (Lilford's wall lizard), 74 nucleotides long. The record is from the annotation of a GenBank genome assembly. NCBI's taxonomy places the organism in Eukaryota, Metazoa, Chordata, Lepidosauria, Squamata, Lacertidae.
UUUGCAAGCUCAGUCGGUACAGCAUGAGACUCUUAAUCUCAAGGCUGUGGGUUCGAGCCCUGCCCUGGGCAAAA